Puccinia sorghi is the source of this 93-nucleotide non-coding RNA. The record is from the annotation of a GenBank genome assembly. NCBI's taxonomy places the organism in Eukaryota, Fungi, Basidiomycota, Pucciniomycetes, Pucciniales, Pucciniaceae.
GGCCCUUUGGCCAAGUGGUAAGGUGUUCUCCUCCGGCGGCGCCCGUCGGCGCAGGCGAGAGAAAGAUCGCAGGUUCAAUCCCUGCAAGGGUCG